Long non-coding RNA from Salvelinus namaycush (lake trout), 251 nucleotides. RefSeq lists it as uncharacterized. The record is from RefSeq and is a predicted model, not a curated record. The transcript has 3 exons. NCBI's taxonomy places the organism in Eukaryota, Metazoa, Chordata, Actinopteri, Salmoniformes, Salmonidae.
CUUCACUAUCCUCCAACUCUCUACAGGGAGCACUGCUGUUCAUCAUGCACUGCCUACUGAAACAAAACGGUUAGAGAGGAGUAUUGCAAGCUCCUGUCCUGUAUCUGCACACAGAAGAAGAGAUACUCAGAGGUCAGCAUUACCAACCCUUCCUCCAGCCAAUCUCAGGGGUCAAGGAGCGCAGAGAGAACACGGGAGAGUCGCAGAUAUGACGUCACCAUACCCCCAUAAUGCACCCUCUUUACUCCCCC